Molecule: unclassified non-coding RNA, 289 nt
Filed under: Hevea brasiliensis (rubber tree)
Lineage: Eukaryota; Viridiplantae; Streptophyta; Magnoliopsida; Malpighiales; Euphorbiaceae
Source: RNAcentral
GUUCUGCCGUUUACCGUCUUCCUAAAUUAGCGUCUCCUCUCUUAGGUUCUCUCGCCAGCGAAUCAUCUGUGUUUGUCAAGUGUCAACGAUGGCUCGCCUUCAGAUCCCCAUCUCCACAACAAUCUCUUCCUACCUCCUUUCUAUUCUCUUCUUAUCCCAAACCAGUCUCUCUUUUUCUCUCACUAACCAGUCUCUUCCUCAAUACGUCACGGUCACAGAUGUUCAUGACCUUCUCCCUUUGUAUGGCCUGCCUCGUGGCCUACUCCCAGACAAUGUUAAAUCUUACACU